CCACCUUCAGACCUUUAAGGUAGCAGGAAAGCAGAGGAAAAAAUGCCAUAGCAGGGAUAAGCCUUGAACUAAAGGCAACAGAGCAACCACAAGAAGACUGAAUAGUGAAGAAAAUAAGAGAAACUGGUUAGAGUCCCCAGAUCUUGA
Molecule: long non-coding RNA, 147 nt
Organism: Talpa occidentalis (Iberian mole)
Lineage: Eukaryota; Metazoa; Chordata; Mammalia; Eulipotyphla; Talpidae
Exons: 3
Source: RefSeq, a predicted model, not a curated record